GACGAACGCUGGCGGCGUGCCUAAUACAUGCAAGUCGAGCGGACAGAUGGGAGCUUGCUCCCUGAUGUUAGCGGCGGACGGGUGAGUAACACGUGGGUAACCUGCCUGUAAGACUGGGAUAACUCCGGGAAACCGGGGCUAAUACCGGAUGGUUGUUUGAACCGCAUGGUUCAAACAUAAAAGGUGGCUUCGGCUACCACUUACAGAUGGACCCGCGGCGCAUUAGCUAGUUGGUGAGGUAACGGCUCACCAAGGCAACGAUGCGUAGCCGACCUGAGAGGGUGAUCGGCCACACUGGGACUGAGACACGGCCCAGACUCCUACGGGAGGCAGCAGUAGGGAAUCUUCCGCAAUGGACGAAAGUCUGACGGAGCAACGCCGCGUGAGUGAUGAAGGUUUUCGGAUCGUAAAGCUCUGUUGUUAGGGAAGAACAAGUACCGUUCGAAUAGGGCGGUGCCUUGACGGUACCUAACCAGAAAGCCACGGCUAACUACGUGCCAGCAGCCGCGGUAAUACGUAGGUGGCAAGCGUUGUCCGGAAUUAUUGGGCGUAAAGGGCUCGCAGGCGGUUUCUUAAGUCUGAUGUGAAAGCCCCCGGCUCAACCGGGGAGGGUCAUUGGAAACUGGGGAACUUGAGUGCAGAAGAGGAGAGUGGAAUUCCACGU
This 664-nucleotide ribosomal RNA is filed under the name uncultured Bacillus sp. RNAcentral describes it as "bacterial SSU rRNA". It matches the Rfam family "Bacterial small subunit ribosomal RNA", at positions 28 to 674 of the family's 1533-position model. The record is from RNAcentral. Lineage: Bacteria; Bacillati; Bacillota; Bacilli; Caryophanales; Bacillaceae.